Molecule: long non-coding RNA, 2049 nt
Organism: Xenopus laevis (African clawed frog)
Lineage: Eukaryota; Metazoa; Chordata; Amphibia; Anura; Pipidae
Exons: 2
Source: RefSeq, a predicted model, not a curated record
GUGGAUAACAGAUAACACCAUUAUGUUCUAAAGAGCUUAUCUGCUGUGUAACCUGAGCAUUUUCUCUUUGGAAUGGCUGCCCCCAUUGCUACACAGCAUUGUUAUUGGAGUGAUAUUACUUCUAUUGUCAUGCAUCCAAAAUCCCAGAACUGACCCUUUAUUCCUCAUUACUUGUCAGCAAAAAUGACCAUUUUUGCUUUUUUUUGAAAAAAAUUGUGAAAUUAUGCCAAAAUGUGGAAUCAAUGGGAAAGCAUCUGCAUUUCUUUCAGGCACAAAAAAAAUAAGUUUUCUUUUUCAACAAAACAAAAGGAACUAUAUUUAUAAUAACAAUUCUAGUCUACAUCUUUUUCUACCACCAAAAACGUGGUGGGGGUUAUUCAUGGGAUUUUACUAAUUUUCUCACCAUGUUCCAAAAGCCUAAAAUGUUACCUUUCCUUUUGUUAUCAGUGAAUGCAGGACUCAGUUCUUAUUAUUGUGUUAUUAUUCCUUAUUCCUUAUGGCAGUUGCUUUAAAAUGCCAUGAAAGAAGUAAAGAGUAUCUGAAGUUUAUCAGAGCACAAGUCACAUGACCUCAGGGCUCCUGGGAAACUGACAAUAUGUCUAGCCCCAUGCAAAUUUUAAAAUUAAAUGUAAAAAAAUCUGUUUGCUUUUUUAAAUAUCUGGAUUGAUGGAUCCAGCAAGUUAUGGGCAUUUGAUUGUCUGCAGGGUUUGUAUCCUGGGAGAGAUGUUUAAUGGUUCCCUGCCCUCCAUUCUGUGUGGCUGGCAUGGCAGGUAGCCUAUUACAGUAUAAAGGGGUGGUUCAUGUUAAUGUUUAGUAUGUUAUAGAAUGACCAAUACUUAACAACAUUUCUGCUGGAAUUAACUAUUUGUUAAAUGUUCAGUAUGUUAUAGAAUGACCAAUUCUAAGCAACUUUUAUAUUUGUAACUGUUUUUUUAUAUCAUUUUGUAAACUCUUUUUAUUAUUUUCAAGGAACAGGGGGUAGGGUACAGAAAAAAGAAGGGGACAAAAAAAAAUAAAUAAAAAGGAGGGGGGUACAACAUGCAAGCAUGUCAUUAUAAUUAUUUUAUAUAGGUUAAAGGCUUCCACCAGCAUCAAGUCAUUGCUCUAAUGGUUAUUCUGGUAUUGAUAGGUCUUAUGUAUAUGUAUAUAGCAACAAACAAACAACACCAAACAGGUAUCUCCUACCAUGCCCAAAUGUAACCUGCUAAGAUGGGAAAUGUAAGAAUGAUAUACCACUUAUAUAACCUCAAAGUUUAAUGUGUGGGUUUUUUGCUUUUACCUUGUGUGUUAAUGUGAUUUAUCCAUGAGGACCAUAUGUUCCAAUAUUUGGAGCUAUUGUUGUGUAGUAUAUGGGUUAAUUCCUCCAACUUUCUUAUUUCUUCAACUUUAGCUGCCCAUUCCUUAAGUGUAGGUGGUUGAGGAUCUUUUCGUUUUCCUGGAAUAACGGCUUUUGCCGCUUGCAAUAGAUGCAGGGUAAGGGGGUCAAGAACUGCCUUAUUAUUGUCAUUUGAAAUAUUCAACAUGAUUAAAGCUGGGUCAUCUAUUGAAAUCUUUGUUCCAGACACUAUAAAUAUUGCUUAGAACCUCCUUCCAAUAGAUUUUUAUUAUGGGGCACAUCGGCCAUAUGUGAGUAUGCGAACCUAUAAAAUCGUCUAUCUUAUCAAUGAGUUCAGCUGAAGGAGGAGAGGAUUUCAAUUUAUAUAGGGUCUGAUAAAAAUCUUGAAAUGCUUCUGCAAUGCUUUUCGUACUAUGUUGAGUUAAAUUGUUUUUAUCCUUAAUAGACAUAAUAUGCGUUUGAGGUUGGAGUUUCUUAAGUAUUCCUGCAAAGUGUUUCAACAGUGAGUUCUGAUGUCAUCAGUUAUAAACGAAAGAGCCCAGGAAAACUGAGCCAAAGCCUCUGUUCUACCAGCUAUUCUACUCUACUCUACUGAAAUGAAACUUCGCUAUUGUGAUAAUGGGAAAAGAAUCUUAUUUUUAUUACACAUUGAUGGGCCCGGAAGAAUAUUGAGGCAGACAGUGGUAUUCCAUAAUAAACUGAAAAUGAUCUUU